GAUGAACGCUGGCGGCGUGCUUAACACAUGCAAGUCGAACGGAAAGGCCAGUGCUUGCACUGGUACUCGAGUGGCGAACGGGUGAGUAACACGUGGGUGAUCUGCCCUGUACUUCGGGAUAAGCUUGGGAAACUGGGUCUAAUACCGGAUAGGACAACUUUUUGGAUAUUGUUGUGGAAAGCUUUUGCGGUAUGGGAUGAGCUCGCGGCCUAUCAGCUUGUUGGUGGGGUAAUGGCCUACCAAGGCGUCGACGGGUAGCCGGCCUGAGAGGGUGUACGGCCACAUUGGGCCUGAGAUACGGCCCAGACUCCUACGGGAGGCAGCAGUGGGGAAUAUUGCACAAUGGGCGCAAGCCUGAUGCAGCGACGCCGCGUGGGGGAUGAAGGCCUUCGGGUUGUAAACUCCUUUCGCUAGGGACGAAGCUUUUUUGUGACGGUACCUGGAGAAGAAGCACCGGCUAACUACGUG
Molecule: ribosomal RNA, 468 nt
Filed under: uncultured bacterium
Lineage: Bacteria
Description: partial 16S ribosomal RNA
Rfam family: Bacterial small subunit ribosomal RNA
Source: RNAcentral